GUCUGGGGCCAUGAGCUCGAACUCCUUGGGAAUUAUAACCCCUGUCCCUAUUCCUGUCCAUGUGCUCUCCUUCAGCGCUGACUCCUCUGCCAAAGCAGGGGUCUCCAAGGAUGCCAUCGUCACAGGCCCUGCCCCCGGGUCCUUCCACCAUGGCCUUGGCCACAGUCUUCUGGCUGGCUUGCACUCCAGCCCGCCCCAUGCAGCGCCUCUCCCACACGCUGCGGUGCCCACCCAUAUCCCGCAGAGUCUGCCAGGGAAAAUCCAGGUAGCAGCCAGAGGCCACAGUGCAAGACUUUGAGAGGAGCAGCUUUAAAUCUGUCCAAGUGUGAAAACUCCAUCAGAACAGAUUUGUGGGAGCACAGCAGGUGCUUCUCAGCUUCACGGGAAAGGGCCUGCUGUACCACGGAAAUUGUGACCGCUUCAGAGGCAAGGCUUGCCACUUGGGUCUGGGUGGAAUCAGAACGUGCAGGUCUCCCAGGAUGUACACUCACUGCGCCCUUUCUGCUGCUUGGUGUUCUUCUGGAGGAGCGUGAGUUCUCAGCGGAGCGCUUCUCGGCACUUCUGAUGUGCCUCCCAUGGAGGGAGCCGGGCCCUUGCUGCUCAGGAGGUGCAGACUGCCCCGUGCUCUGGGCCUUGCAGCUCUGUCGCUAGACGGUUGUUAGAGGGGCAGCUCUAGGCUGGGGCUUGCGCUGGGCCGUGGUGGGAGGCACAGUGUUUACAGGCUCUGGUGGCAGAGCAGUUGGCACACCUGUGGGUGAAUCUGCCUGAUCCCCUGGCAUUUGGUCAGAGUACCUCAGAGCACCCCACUGCUCAGGGGCUCCUUCUGGCUGCAGUAAGCUCCCUGGAUGGUCACAGUGCCGCCCCAUCCCCAGGCUGUGUGCUCAAAGCGGACAAAACUCAGGCCAGAGCCACAGCUGGGAGACCUGCACUGUCCCUGCGAAAUACUAAGAACACCUAGGGUGUGCUCACUGUGGGGGCCAGUUUCUCCUCGGAACAUGACAAUGAAGCUCUUUUAGAGAAAAGACCUUUGUAGAUUCAACAAUUAUGAUAGGAUUUUUACAGACACCUAUUUUGGGCUCAGUUUUCAUCAUUACCAUUAAAUGCAUUGGAUAGAAGGGGACUGUUCUUCACACAUCAUAUUAUAGGAAGACAUAAUUCCAGUGCCUUUAUGGUGGAGCAGAAUUCGACAACACAUGUCCAUUCAGCCCUCUGAAUGGAUCUGAGACGAAGACCUUUUUAAAGAUAUGUCUGUAUUGAAGAGAAAGCCAGUUUUGAGUUUUUUACACUUGCACAUCAUUAUCUGUGCCGUCCUGACUAGAAGGUUGUCUGGGCCCCCAAAUUCCAAGUCCCAGUAUAGCCAGGGCUCCCAUUUUGUUUUUCCAGAGUUCGUGGAGGUGGACUGCAGAGCCCAGAGCCCUUCAUCUCUCUGAGGGUCAAGGAUACCAGGGGUCCCAAGUCACAGAUAGACAUUCCAGUUUGUAUUCUUAGGAAUCAUUCUUAGGCAGUGCGGCAGAAGCAGGCCUCUGUGAAGUGUCUGCCGGGUAGAAAUAGGCCUUGAAGUCCUGGGGCUCUCCAGGCAGUGGGGUUAUGUGUCGACUGAAGGGUGAUGUGCAGAAGAGCUUGGAGAGUGGAUCAGAGAGACUAGGACAGUUACUGCAGAGCUCCUAAGUCACCACUCAACCAGUGGCUGUUUCACAAGGAUUUGAGGGCACUUGCCUGUCUUGUGAGGUCUGUGCCACAAGGUGAGUCUGAACUGACUGCUCCAGCUAAGUGAUCAGGCACGUUGAGAGUAUACGGUGUCCUCAGCACAUACACCUGUGGGAAAACGGACCGCUCUUGGCUCCUGACUCCCAGGGUACAGCGCCCAGUAACUCAUCCUUCAUUCAGAGGUUUGCUGGCCUUCCCGGUUUCCCAAGGAGCAAGACCUCUGUCCGCCCUUUGGCCCGGCCUCUGCUCUGUCUCCUUUUUUUACAUAAGAACCAAUCCGUGUUUCACAUUGGGCUAAGUGGAUUCCUUAUCCCUUUGUUAUAUAUAUUUUUUGCAACUUGGAUUUCCAGUUUGUUUACAGAGUAGUCUUAGGUAGUAGCAAAAGAGCCAAAGAAGAGAUUUGUAUUGCUGAGCUCAAAGCCAAGCAGAGGCCGGCAGUGGAGGCUGAGCAGGGACUCUCCAGGCUUCUCUGCCCAUAAACACCCGGGUCCCAGGCCCUCCUUCCUUUCCCUUUGGUGCUCCCUCCUCCCCACGUACCAUUGCGCGUGCAGCUGGAGCAGAAUACCCUCAUUUUUAGGAAUCUAGUGAUGCCUCUUGCCUCAGGGAAACGUUUCUUUGAUGGGGAGUUUGAGAUUUCUUUUCCUUGUUUAUGCUUUAUUUGUGGUAAUGAAAGAGCGAAUGACUGAACAGCCAUGGCAAGGCAGACCUACAGGCGAGGCCGCAGCAGAGGGUGGGGCAGAGCAGCCUCGGGGUCUGGGGGCUGCAGGGGUUUCCCUGGCGCAGCGAAAGUCUCUGAGCACUUACCGGGCGUGACCGUUUCUUAGGUGUGAGAGGGGCUGUGGCUUUUGUGCAGCGACUAUGUUGGUGUUAGGGGUGGUGUGGAGAUUGUUAAUCUUGUAUAAAGCAAUUCAAUAAAUUGUUUCAAGGUUUCCAAAA
Molecule: long non-coding RNA, 2643 nt
Filed under: Homo sapiens (human)
Lineage: Eukaryota; Metazoa; Chordata; Mammalia; Primates; Hominidae
Description: HSALNT0227166
Source: RNAcentral